Molecule: ribosomal RNA, 633 nt
Filed under: uncultured bacterium
Lineage: Bacteria
Description: bacterial SSU rRNA
Rfam family: Bacterial small subunit ribosomal RNA (bases 1-540)
Source: RNAcentral
CCUACGGGAGGCAGCAGUGGGGAAUUUUGGACAAUGGGGGCAACCCUGAUCCAGCAAUGCCGCGUGAGUGAAGAAGGCCCUCGGGUUGUAAAGCUCUUUUGUCAGGGAAGAAACGGUGGUUCCUAAUACGAGCUGCUAAUGACGGUACCUGAAGAAUAAGCACCGGCUAACUACGUGCCAGCAGCCGCGGUAAUACGUAGGGUGCAAGCGUUAAUCGGAAUUACUGGGCGUAAAGCGUGCGCAGGCGGUUAUAUAAGACAGAGGUGAAAUCCCCGGGCUCAACCUGGGAACUGCCUUUGUGACUGUAUGGCUAGAGUGUGUCAGAGGGGGGUAGAAUUCCACGUGUAGCAGUGAAAUGCGUAGAUAUGUGGAGGAAUACCGAUGGCGAAGGCAGCCCCCUGGGAUAACACUGACGCUCAUGCACGAAAGCGUGGGGAGCAAACAGGAUUAGAUACCCUGGUAGUCCACGCCCUAAACGAUGUCUACUAGUUGUCGGGACUUAAUUGUCUUGGUAACGCAGCUACGCGUGAGUAGACCGCCGUGGGAGGUACGGUCGCGAGAAGUUAAAACGUUAAAGUUAGUAAGUUAGUACGGCGUGAGACGUGACCGACGGACGACGACGAGGGAGGAGGG